AACGAACGCUGGCGGCAUGCCUAACACAUGCAAGUCGAACGAGACCUUCGGGUCUAGUGGCGCACGGGUGCGUAACGCGUGGGAAUCUGCCCUUCGGUUCGGAACAACAGUUAGAAAUGACUGCUAAUACCGGAUAAUGACGUAAGUCCAAAGAUUUAUCGCCGAAGGAUGAGCCCGCGUAAGAUUAGGUAGUUGGUGGGGUAAUGGCCUACCAAGCCGACGAUCUUUAGCUGGUCUGAGAGGAUGAUCAGCCACACUGGGACUGAGACACGGCCCAGACUCCUACGGGAGGCAGCAGUGGGGGAAUAUUGGACAAUGGGCGGAAAGACCUGAUCCAGCAAUGCCGCGUGAGUGAUGAAGGCCUUAGGGUUGUAAGACUC
This 380-nucleotide ribosomal RNA is filed under the name uncultured bacterium. RNAcentral describes it as "bacterial SSU rRNA". It matches the Rfam family "Bacterial small subunit ribosomal RNA", at positions 29 to 433 of the family's 1533-position model. The record is from RNAcentral.